Molecule: long non-coding RNA, 906 nt
Organism: Scylla paramamosain (green mud crab)
Lineage: Eukaryota; Metazoa; Arthropoda; Malacostraca; Decapoda; Portunidae
Exons: 2
Source: RefSeq, a predicted model, not a curated record
GUUGUUAUCAUCUUGGUGGAAUAAAGAGACGUAUGGUAAGGAGAAAGAAGUGUAUAUAAAGUACAUCAAGAUGCAGGAAGACUCAUACCACCGCGCCAUGAAGCUGUCACUUGCAUCCCUCCUAGCGCUGUUGCUCCUCGCCGUGGCGCUGGGCACACACCCAUCGCAGGCUGAUCCCGGCCCAGCGAAGGAAGAUGCAAGGCAAAGGAAUGGAAUGAAUAUUGCCGAAGAGGUGGACCGCGCCCGCUCAUUCGGUCCAGGAGAUCACGUGCUGUACCGCCGCAGCAAGAGCCAGGGGACCGGUCUGCCUAUCACUGAUCGACCCCGGUGGAGGACCAGCACGGACAGGUACCCGAGUUUCAUCUAUUUCCCAAACCCGCGGCGGAUUCGCAGAAGGGGUUAGGGCGACGGUACAGUGUGUUCAGGAGCACUAAGCAGGCUGCGGGAUGACAAAGACCACCAGUUCAGGCCAGCAGAGCACUCAGAAACAUGUUCAAGUUGAUGGCCUUGAUUACUGUAUCUUGAAAACUCACCAUGAUCAAAUAACCUGAUUCCCUCUUCUUAACUUUCACGAGGGAUGGCAGUUACUAUAAGUGGUCCUUUUUUUUUUUUUCAGUCGUUUUGUAGCCCUUGACGUCUCCUUGUAACACGUGAGAAAAUAAAUAGAUAAAAAUUAAUGUAAUGUUGAUUCUUCUAUUCUCAGUCUUGGCAUGUAUUCCCAACACUGAUACACGUCAUCUUACAUUGUGUAUCAGUGCCUUGGAAUCUCAUUCUGCACAUGUGUCAAAGAUUUUUAUGUCGAAGGCUGUCGGAAUCUCGCCGCCACCUUAAUCAUUACUAAACCAUUGUUCUGCUCCUCAAUAUUUUAUCAUUGUAACCUUUGAAAAAUAUAACAAAACCUUUUAU